CUCAACAAGAAAAUGCCCCAAGUUGCUUGAACUUUCAAGAUGGCGGCCAUUUUUAAGAUGGCUUCCAUCUUGAAGUUUCAAGCAACUUGGGGCAUUUUCU
Molecule: non-coding RNA, 100 nt
Organism: Xyrichtys novacula (pearly razorfish)
Lineage: Eukaryota; Metazoa; Chordata; Actinopteri; Labriformes; Labridae
Source: the annotation of a GenBank genome assembly